Molecule: ribosomal RNA, 353 nt
Filed under: uncultured bacterium
Lineage: Bacteria
Description: partial 16S ribosomal RNA
Rfam family: Bacterial small subunit ribosomal RNA
Source: RNAcentral
CCUACGGGUGGCAGCAGUGAGGAAUAUUGGUCAAUGGCCGGAAGGCUGAACCAGCCAUGCCGCGUGAGGUCAGUGCCAUAUGGGCGUUAAACUUCUUUUGUGCGGGGGCAAUAAUGGUCACGUGUGGCUAGAUGAGAGGACCGUACGAAUAAGCAUCGGCUAACUUAGUGCCAGUAGCCGCGGUAAAACGGGGGAUGCAAGCGUUAUCCGGAUUUAUUGGGUUUCAAGGGUGCGGAGGCUGUGAAGUAAGUCAGCGGUGAAAUGCCCCCGCUCAACGGGGUGAAGUGCCAUUGAUAAGGCCUGGCUGGAUUGCGGAUGCCGUGGUGGGAAUGUGUGGUGUAGCGGUGAAAGGC